GGCCUAUUAACUCAGUUCGUUAGAGCGUUGCAGUAGUAAUGCGAAGGUCGCAGGUUCGAGACCUUCAUGGGCCA
Molecule: transfer RNA, 74 nt
Filed under: Nelumbo nucifera (sacred lotus)
Lineage: Eukaryota; Viridiplantae; Streptophyta; Magnoliopsida; Proteales; Nelumbonaceae
Rfam family: tRNA
About the family: Transfer RNA (tRNA) molecules are approximately 80 nucleotides in length. Their secondary structure includes four short double-helical elements and three loops (D, anti-codon, and T loops). Further hydrogen bonds mediate the characteristic L-shaped molecular structure. tRNAs have two regions of fundamental functional importance: the anti-codon, which is responsible for specific mRNA codon recognition, and the 3' end, to which the tRNAs corresponding amino acid is attached (by aminoacyl-tRNA synthetases). tRNAs cope with the degeneracy of the genetic code in two manners: having more than one tRNA (with a specific anti-codon) for a particular amino acid; and 'wobble' base-pairing, i.e. permitting non-standard base-pairing at the 3rd anti-codon position.
Source: Rfam by way of RNAcentral